UGGGGAAUUUUGGACAAUGGGGGAAACCCUGAUCCAGCCAUCCCGCGUGUGCGAUGAAGGCCUUCGGGUUGUAAAGCACUUUUGGCAGGAAAGAAACGUCAUGGGUUAAUACCCCGUGAAACUGACGGUACCUGCAGAAUAAGCACCGGCUAACUACGUGCCAGCAGCCGCGGUAAUUCGUAGGGUGCAAGCGUUAAUCGGAAUUACUGGGCGUAAAGCGUGCGCAGGCGGUUCGGAAAGAAAGAUGUGAAAUCCCAGAGCUCAACUUUGGAACUGCAUUUUUAACUACCGGGCUAGAGUGUGUCAGAGGGAGGUGGAAUUCCGCGUGUAGCAGUGAAAUGCGUAGAUAUGCGGAGGAACACCGAUGGCGAAGGCAGCCUCCUGGGAUAACACUGACGCUCAUGCACGAAAGCGUGGGGAGCAAACAGG
Molecule: ribosomal RNA, 429 nt
Filed under: Acidobacteriota bacterium
Lineage: Bacteria; Pseudomonadati; Acidobacteriota
Description: Acidobacteria bacterium partial 16S ribosomal RNA
Rfam family: Bacterial small subunit ribosomal RNA
Source: RNAcentral